RNAcentral lists this ribosomal RNA (491 nucleotides) under uncultured Glomus. RNAcentral's name for it is "partial 18S ribosomal RNA". The record is from RNAcentral. Lineage: Eukaryota; Fungi; Glomeromycota; Glomeromycetes; Glomerales; Glomeraceae.
AUUAAAAAUAACAUCAUCCGAUCCCUAGUCGGCAUAGUUUAUGGUUAAGACUACGACGGUAUCUGAUCGUCUUCGAUCCCCUAACUUUCGUUCUUGAUUAAUGAAAACAUCCUUGGCAAAUGCUUUCGCAGUAGUUAGUCUUCAAUAAAUCCAAGAAUUUCACCUCUGACAAUUGAAUACUAAUGCCCCCAACUAUCCCUAUUAAUCAUUACGUCGAUCCUAGAAACCAACAAAAUAAGAUCAAACGUCCUAUUUCAUUAUUCCAUGCUAAUGUAUUCAAGCUAAUGCCUGCUUUAAACACUCUAAUUUUUUCAAAGUAACAGUCCAAAUUCCCCGCAACACCAAAUUAAUGGCAUUACGGUUCAUCAGGAAGGAGGAAUCAGUGAGACCAGUACAUACCAGAGGCAUGACCAACCUACUAACCCCGAAAUUCAACUACGAGCUUUUUAACUGCAACAACUUUAAUAUACGCUAUUGGAGCUGGAAUUACC